This 492-nucleotide ribosomal RNA is filed under the name uncultured bacterium. RNAcentral describes it as "partial 16S ribosomal RNA". It matches the Rfam family "Bacterial small subunit ribosomal RNA", at positions 29 to 507 of the family's 1533-position model. The record is from RNAcentral.
AGUGAACGCUGGCGGUAGGCCUAACACAUGCAAGUCGAACGGCAGCACAGUAAGAGCUUGCUCUUACGGGUGGCGAGUGGCGGACGGGUGAGGAAUACAUCGGAAUCUACUUUUUCGUGGGGGAUAACGUAGGGAAACUUACGCUAAUACCGCAUACGACCUACGGGUGAAAGCAGGGGAACUUCGGACCUUGCGCGAUUGAAUGAGCCGAUGUCGGAUUAGCUAGUUGGCGGGGUAAAGGCCCACCAAGGCGACGAUCCGUAGCUGGUCUGAGAGGAUGAUCAGCCACACUGGAACUGAGACACGGUCCAGACUCCUACGGGAGGCAGCAGUGGGGAAUAUUGGACAAUGGGCGCAAGCCUUAUCCAGCCAUACCGCGUGGGUGAAGAAGGCCUUCGGGUUGUAAAGCCCUUUUGUUGGGAAAGAAAAGCAGCAGGUUAAUACCCCGCUGUUCUGACGGUACCCAAAGAAUAAGCACCGGCUAACUUCGUG